UUAGCCAGCAGCAGCAGUGGGUGCAUGCCUGCUGUUGCUUCGGUUGCUUUAUUUGAACGGUUCCUCCUUUUGUUGGCUUUUCUUCCCAGCAGUCACUUGCGCUUUGUCUUUUCAGGAUCCAAGCUGCUGAGGUGGGGUUGCUUUGUACGACUCUACAGCUCCAAGGACCUUUAGUUACUGGACUAUAAAUAAUAUCUUCUUCUGUAUUCUCUGUGAUGUGUAGGAAAGACUGUGUAAGUCUUGAGGUGAUGUUAUCUAAGCCAAUGAGAUCUUAAGGGCAACCUUAAGGGGAAAAAAAGGUUUGAUCCGUGAGCUGCAAGUCACCUCUGGAGUCAGCAGUGAUACAAGAGCAUACAGCUAAAAAAAUGUGAAAUCAGCAUGAAGGCUGAAGUACUGUUUUCUUAAGGCACUUUUGGAACUGGCAAAAGGUGGAACUUUCUCAAAGUUGUUAAACCUCCUCAAAGUUGUUGAAAUGGAAUGGUGCCCGCUAUGUAGAGUAAUCACGGGAGACGCUGCUCGUUUCUCAUCAAGAAAAGUGCUUUUUAAUGUGUACUUUACAGCAAGUUCCUCUUCAAGCUUAUGGAGACACUGGGCUGGGCUGGUGAGACAUGCUAGCCUGGAGCGCAGCAGUG
RNAcentral lists this long non-coding RNA (632 nucleotides) under Struthio camelus australis. Its description in RNAcentral is "lncRNA (ENSSCUG00000018609.1)". The record is from RNAcentral. Lineage: Eukaryota; Metazoa; Chordata; Aves; Struthioniformes; Struthionidae.